AACGAACGCUGGCGGCAGGCUUAACACAUGCAAGUCGAGCGCCCCGCAAGGGGAGCGGCAGACGGGUGAGUAACGCGUGGGAACGUACCUUUUGGUUCGGAACAACUCCGGGAAACUGGAGCUAAUACCGGAUAAGCCCUAACGGGGAAAGAUUUAUCGCCGACAGAUCGGCCCGCGUCUGAUUAGCUAGUUGGUGAGGUAACGGCUCACCAAGGCGACGAUCAGUAGUUGGUCUGAGAGGAUGAUCAGCCACACUGGCACUGAGACACGGCCCAGACUCCUACGGGAGGCAGCAGUGGGGAAUAUUGGACAAUGGGCGCAAGCCUGAUCCAGCCAUGCCGCGUGAGUGAUGAAGGCCUUAGGGUUGAAAAGCGCUUUUGUCCGGGAAGAUAAUGACUGUACCGGAAGAAUAAGCCCCGGCUAACUUCGUG
This 431-nucleotide ribosomal RNA is filed under the name uncultured bacterium. Its description in RNAcentral is "partial 16S ribosomal RNA". It matches the Rfam family "Bacterial small subunit ribosomal RNA", at positions 29 to 507 of the family's 1533-position model. The record is from RNAcentral.